AGCAGUUUCCGCCUUCGUUGGAGAACUCCGUACGCAUCCUGGAGUAAACUUGGCGGACUGAUCACCCACCGACUCCCCGCCACCGGUUGUACCUGACGUAACCCCACCCGGCGCGCAAAACCGAACCAACCCGGCUACCUAGUCUGUAACCGCUGCUUAUGUUUGUAACUGCAAUCAAAGCCAGCUUCUUCCCACGCUGCAUACAUCAGCGGCAUUCUUCUUUUUCUUUCUCUAUUUCAGCAACUUGUGAUUCGAUGUCCUUUGCACUAAAAAUCUGAAUGGGACAAAGUACAGUAUAAGUGUAAAUAAUGUAGAUUCCACGUGCAAUCCUAUAAUUCAGGACUGUUCAACUUCAGCAGAGCUGGGGGCUACUAGGGGCCCAGGUUCUCCCCCACCACAUGGCAGUGGGAAAGAUGGCCAGCAGUUGAAUAGCUCUGGUAUUAUCUAUAAAAUUCAAUUCUGUAUUACAAUUCUAAAAUGUACUACUAAUGCAUUAUAAAAGUUUGGAAAACUUUCUGAAUUACAAAUCAAUAAUCA
Molecule: long non-coding RNA, 537 nt
Organism: Alligator sinensis (Chinese alligator)
Lineage: Eukaryota; Metazoa; Chordata; Crocodylia; Alligatoridae
Exons: 2
Source: RefSeq, a predicted model, not a curated record